CCCUUAGAUGUCCUGGGCUGCACGCGCGCUUCACUGAUGUGUCCAGUAAGCACCUAACCUCUUCCGAAAGGAACGGGUAACCUUUGCAAAGCACAUCGUGAUGGGGAUAGAUUAUUGCAAUUAUUAGUCUUGAACGAGGAAUUCCUAGUAAGCACAAGUCAUCAGCUUGUGUUGAUUACGUCCCUGCCCUUUGUACACACCGCCCGUCGCUCCUACCGAUUGAAUGUUCCGGUGAGCUCUUCGGACUGCGCGGUCUGCAGUUUCUGCGUUCCGUGCGGAAAGUUGCGCAAACCUUAACAUUUAGAGGAAGGAGAAGUCGUAACA
This 324-nucleotide ribosomal RNA is filed under the name uncultured eukaryote. RNAcentral describes it as "partial 18S ribosomal RNA". It matches the Rfam family "Eukaryotic small subunit ribosomal RNA", at positions 1470 to 1796 of the family's 1831-position model. The record is from RNAcentral.